This 440-nucleotide ribosomal RNA is filed under the name uncultured bacterium. Its description in RNAcentral is "partial 16S ribosomal RNA". It matches the Rfam family "Bacterial small subunit ribosomal RNA", at positions 338 to 795 of the family's 1533-position model. The record is from RNAcentral.
CCUACGGGAGGCUGCAGUGGGGAAUAUUGCACAAUGGGGGAAACCCUGAUGCAGCGACGCCGCGUGAGUGAUGAAGUAUUUCGGUAUGUAAAGCUCUAUCUGCAGGGAAGUAGAUGACGGUACCUGACUAAGAAGCCCCGUCUAACUACGUGCCAGCAGCCCCGGGAAUACGUAGGGGGCCACGGUUAUCCGGAUUUUCUGGGUGUAAAGGGAGCGUAGACGGGGAUGCAAGCCAGUUGUGAAAGUCCGGGGCUCAACCCCGGGACUGCAUUUGGAACUGUGAGUCUGGAGUAUCGGAGAGGCAGGCGGAAUUCCUAGUGUAGCGGUGAAAUGCGUAGAUAUUAGGAGGAACACCAGUUGCGAAGGCGGCCUGCUGAACUAUGACUGACGUUGAGGCUCGAAAGCGUGGGGAGCAAACAGGAUUAGAUACCCUUGUAGUC